CCCUCAUCUACAAGCCCCGUAGCCGCCCACGUAACUGUUGUCCCCGGUUCGAAUCCCGCCCUCACCUACAAGCCCCGUACCCGCCCACGUAACUGCUGGACCCGGUUCGAAUCCCGCCCUCACCUACAAGCCCCGUACCCGCCCACGUAAAUGCUGGACCCGGUUCGAACCCCGCCCUCACCUACAAGCCCCGUAGCCGCCCGGCCCCGGUUCGAACCCUGGCCUCUGCUGCAUGUUACAAGUGACCUCGCCUCCACCCCAGGGUAACCAGCGUGUCACAUAUACAAAGGAAGGAUCGUGUGAGACUUCAAUGACCUCCGGCAGUACUUCGAGGUCAACAUCACCACGUCAGAGUACUUAAGAGCUGCCGUGACCAAGGCCUAUCUCAGCGCCUGUGUCCCGUCCCCCACACCCAGGAGCUGCCGUGACCAAGGCCUAUCUCAGCGCCUGUGUCCUGUCCCCCACACCCAGGAGCUGCCGUGACCAAGGCCUAUCUCAGCGCCUGUGUCCCGUCCCCCACACCCAGGGGCUGCCGUGACCAAGGCCUAUCUCAGCGCCUGUGUCCCGUCCCCCACACCCAGGAGCUGCCGUGACCAAGGCCUAUCUCAGCGCCUGUGUCCCGUCCCCCACACCCAGGAGCCGCGAUGAUACUGUUCAGAGUGCUAGGGAGGAUAGGUCAUCACUGGUUAGCUGGUGUUGGGAGAGCGGGGCACCACCACAAUCUAUUAUAUCAAGUUCUUUAUAUUACAGCAACACUUAUAAAGUAACUCAAUCCUUUUCCCUUGAAGCAAUAGUUCCAACACCUUUGAUUUAGUGAUUGAAUGUUUCUGUCCCACACUUUUCAUUUCCCUGUUUCCUCUGACCCAUUCUCUCUCCUCCUCCUCCUCCUCCUCUCUGUCUAUCUUCAUCCCUUCCUUCCUUUUAAUUAAUGUCUAAGUUAUCCUUUGUGUGAUGUUCCUUCUGGUGGUCAAAUCUUGCAUCCAAUUUCCCUUCGUCUAUUCUCUCUCCUCCUCCUCCUCCUCCUCUUCCUCCUCCUCCUCUCUGUCUAUCUUCAUUCCUUCCUUCCUUUUAAUUAAUGUCUAAGUUAUCCUUUGCGUGAUGUUCCUUCUGGUGGUCAAAUCUUGCAUCCAAUUUCCCUUCGUCUAUUCUCCUCUUCCUCCUCCUCCUCCUCCUCUUCCUCCUCCUCCUCCUCCUCUCUGUCUAUCUUCAUUCCUUCCUUCCUUUUAAUUAAUGUCUAAGUUAUCCUUUGUGUGAUGUUCCUUCUGGUGGUCAAAUCUUGCAUCCAAUUUCCCUUCGUCUAUUCUCUCUCCUCCUCCUCUUCCUCCUCCUCCUCUUCCUCCUCCUCCUCUUCCUCCUCCUCCUCUCUGUCUAUCUUCAUUCCUUCCUUCCUUUUAAUUAAUGUCUAAGUUAUCCUUUGUGUGAUGUUCCUUCUGGUGGUCAAAUCUUGCAUCUAAUUUCCCUUCGUCUAUUCUCUCUCCUCCUCCUCCUCCUCUUCCUCCUCCUCCUCCUCUCUGUCUAUCUUCAUCCCUUCCUUCCUUUUAAUUAAUGUCUAAGUUAUCCUUUGAGUGAUGUUCCUUCUGGUGGUCAAAUCUUGCAUCUAAUUUCCCUUCGUCUAUUCUCUCUCCUCCUCCUCCUCCUCCUCCUCUCUGUCUAUCUUCAUCCCUUCCUUUUAAUUAAUGUCUAAGUUAUCUUUUGCUGUUUGUGGUGUCCGGCUCUGCUUGCUAGUUAGUUUUGUCACUGUAUAAUUGUCAAUCCUAGCUAGUUUUGUCACUGUAUAAUUGUCAGUCCUAGUUUGCUUUGUCCCUGUAUAAUGGUCAGUCCUAGUUUGCUUUGUCCCUGUAUAAUGGUCGGUCCCAGUCAGGCGCCUCUUCCAUGUAAAGAUCUCGGCAGCUUCAAGCCUUGCCGAUAUCUCGAUCCGUACGUGAAUGUAAAUUAACCGAAAUCCUUGUUACUAAGCCCUGCACGGUGCUCUCUCUCAUAAUGCUUCUUUAAAUUUUCAAUCUCACUUAACUUCCGGGGUUAGUAAUAUAUUUUCCCAUGCGUUAACUACCCCGUGAUGGCCAGUUUCAUGCACUAUAUAUAAGCGAUUUGCCUUUUCCAUGGCUAUAAUUCUGCAUCCGUGUCUAAGGCCCAGUUUCACAGUUCCUCAUGAUGGGUUAGUAAGCUCCAAAACCAAUACCAGAGCCUUCGAAAUUUCCUUGUACGGUGUCUGGAGUUUAUAUUCAAGUUCACAGAUUUGACGAGACUAUACAGGAAAGGUCUUGUGUGUUUAUGGUACGUAGGAAAGGGAGGGGAAGGGAGAUGAGAUUGAGAGACGAGUGAGCUGAGAUGGUGUUUAUAUUCAAGUUCACAAGUUUGACGAGACUAUACAGGAAAGGUUUUGUGUGUUUAUGGUACGUAGGAAAGGGAGGGGAGGGGAGAUGAGAUUGAGAGACGAGUGAGCUGAGAUGGUGUUUAUAUUCAAGUUCACAAGUUUGAUGAGACUAUACAGGAAAGGUCUUGUGUGUUUAUGCUACUAAGGAAAGGGAGGAGAAGGGAGAUGAGGUUGAGAGAUGAGAUCCUGUUUAUAUUCAAGUUCACAAGUUUGACGAGACUAUACAGGAAAGGUCUUGUGUGUUUAUGCUACUAAGGAAAGGGAGGAGAAGGGAAAUGAGGUAGAGAGAUGAGAUCCUGUUUAUAUUCAAGAUCACAAAUUUGACAACACUAUACAGGAAAAGCUCUGUGUAUUUAGUGUGUCAUCGAAGACGGUGCCAUUUAGAACAGUAUGGGAUUCUAUAGCUUGGUUCGGGAGUGUUACAAAGACCAUGAUGGACUGUGGAAGCGGCCCUUAAUGUUCCCUUUUCUAAUAUGCCUCUCUGUUUUUGCAGGAUGCCGCGGACGGACCAUGCAGAGGACUCAUCGCGACGACACCAACGGUUUGGUUAAGUGGGUUCUCUUGUGUGUGCGUCUGUGUGUGAAUGGCAGGCCUGUCGUAUGAUUGUGUGUGUGCGCGCGCUGGGCGUUAUGCCUUCGCGCUAUUAUUUUGUUAGGAUGUAUUUUUGUGUGUGAACUUUUUGCACGUAAUCUUUUUUUACACCCAUAGCUAGCGUUUGUUUGUGUGUUGCUGUGUUCCGGGAGAUGGGCGCCGGGGGACAUGGGCUUGGGGGGGCGCACGUGACCACCUCUGUCCGUGAUCUCUUCAGCUGGGGAGACCGCGUGUUGCCCCGCCUGGAGAGACACGUCGAUGGAGGUGGUAGCGUGUGUCGUCCCUUGCCUGUAUCCUCUGGCGUCCAGAGGCGCGUAAGUGGAGAGCAUCGGCGCAGCGCGGGAGCAGCACGUCAGGGUGUAGGGUGUUUGUUUAGCUGGUGUAGGGUGUUAGGGUGUUAGGUGUAACAACGGUUGGCUCUUUCACAGAACGGGUGUGAUUCCGUUCUGCGUUUGAGUCUUCCACCUUCAGACGGUCUCCCUCCGAGAUGUCUGAAGUUUUUUUUGUCGGUUUUCUCCGUAGGAGGAAGCCGACUCUAGCUACUCUGGCCUCUCUUCCGGGGGCCAGAGCGGUCGGGCUCUGCUUGGCCAGGCGUGUUCUUUCGCGUUGUCUCCGCCGAAGUUUUGCCAGACUCUUCCGUAAGGUUGAGCCUGGCUUUUUUAUUAGGUGGAUCAGGCUGCCUUCUUCCAAGGAGUCUGAUGGGGAGUGGAGUCUUUUUUUUGGUGUAUGUCUGUGGGUGCUCAGUGGGUAAGGGAGGGUGGGGUAGAAUGGUUGGUGGGCUGGAAGUGGGUUGGGGGAUGAACCUUCUGGGAUUUGGGUUGUGUCGAGCCUUACCGCCUGGUGUGUUGGGUACACCUUCACGCCAGGGGGGGGGUGCCAAGACCAUAUCCAUUUCCUGGGGCAGGGUGAUUCCCCUUUCCCAUGCUAACUGGCCCUCCUCCGUCUGCCUCCCCAAACCCCCGCUGAGUGCUUGUGUGUGUUAUUUUUAUUUAGGAUGUCUUUUUUUUGUAUGCCUUUUUCCCGUGUGUUUAUACCCAAUAGCUAGCGUGUGUGUGUGUGGCAGUCCGGAGGCGCGAGGCAGCGAGGACAUCACUUCACGUCACUACGGUAUAUCCACGGUAUUUGGUUUAGUGUGUGCUGUGUGUGUUUGUGUGUGUGAUGGCAGGCCUGCCGUGUGUUUGACCUUUUGCUGUGUGUUGCUGUGUGACUGCUAGGAUUUCAUUUCUAUGUAUGUUUUUUUCCCCAUAACCCCCUUCCUCCCUAGCUCUUUAGCUGUUGUCCCAGGAGAGGCGCUGGGUGGAUGCUGCCGGGCGAUCAACGGCGGUGGCGGUGUGCAACGCGGGAGCAGCUGAGGUUGGGUAGCACUACGGUGCAGGUUAUGUAGGGUGUGUGAGUUUUUUUUUUGUGUGUGAGUGUCUUUUUUUUGUGUGGGGUGUUGGCGGGGGACUUAGCUAAUCACUGUGUCAGGAAGGCAUGGGCGUGGCCGUCUGUCCAUCAGGCCGACGGGCGGGUGUGCCACCUGGCAGUCAGGCUAGCAGGUGACAGGCAAGCUAUCUGGUGGUCAGGCUGUCAGUCGGGCCAUCAGAUAGGUAGGCAGGCCACCUUGCGGUCGGGUUGUCGGGCGGGCACGCCACCCUCGGUCAGGUAGGCAGGCAGCAGCGUCUACGCUGAGCCGUACGGCCACACGUACGAACGCACGGAACCCGUACGCUACGUUCCGCCGCACUGACGCUCGUCGUACCUCUGCUCGCACGCUUGCGGGCGGGUGGGGGGCGGGGGGCGGAUGGGCGGACGGGCGGGCGUACGUGGGAACGGGCGGGCGGACGGGUGGUCGGGCGGUUAGGGAGUCGGAGCAACGCUUGAAAGACGCGCAGAUAGAUGUCAGAUUCUCCCGUAGGGAGGUCUGGCAAGGUGAUAGUUUAGGCGGCGGAGUUUUACGCGGGCCAGUCUGUGUUAGAGCUUUGUCGCCAGGGUAGCUCCUUCCGAGCUGCCCAAACUGAGGACCAGUUUUCCUCACAGGAGGAGGCUGGUGGGGCCUAGGGUGUUAGGGGUACGACGGUUGGCUCUUUCACAGAACGGGCGUUUUCCGUUCUGCGUUUGGGUCUGCCGCCUUUGGGCGUCUCCCUCUGAGACGUCGGUUAGGAUUUCUUUUUUUUAUAUGUCCGUGUGUGUAACUGUUGCCUUUUAGCCUGUUGUGUUCCUGAGCAGCAGAAGAGGAGGCUGUGGUGACCCGCCCGAUGCGGAAGGCUUCUGGGCCCUGUCGGCGGGGGCGCACCUCUCUGGCUGACUGGUUGAGGGAGGGCUUCUCGUCUGGCCGGCUGCAAGUUCAGUCCCAGGAUUGAACCCAUGGCUUGCCAGAUGGAGGGCUGCUCCUUUGACCAGGUGGCCGGGGAGGCGCCCCCUCGCUGGGCGGGGUCUGGGGGCCCUCCGUCUUGGGGAGGUCGCUGCAGCAGGAGGAGGUAACUACUGCUGGUUUUGUAAGGCAUUGUGGUUGAGAGCACCUUGCAGCUGUAACGCGAAUUUCGUUCCGUAAUAAACAAUGUACCGCCAUGCUGCCUGUCCUUCCUCCCUCCCAGCACUGUGUAUGUCUGUGUGUGUGUGUGUUUGUUGCUUAAUUCUCCCUCACUGCACUGUGCGUACGUCUGUGUGUGUGUGUUGCUCUGUCUCUCUCUCUCUCUCAAUUUCUCUCUCUGUCUCUCUCGGUCUGUCUCUCAAUCUCCCUCUGUGUCUUUCUCUAUCUCUCUAGUUAGUAAAGAACAGGUAACGUUUGCCAUGGAAGACUCGAGAGUAUACAUAAGACUCUACAGUAUACGUAAGACCCUACAGUGUACAUCCCAACCCUCUACGGCCGUUGCUGCUCCACCCGGGCAUUACCACAUCCACCCGGGUCUACAAGAAACCUCCACGGCCGAGCUUCAACCACAGAACACCUCGUCACCGUUGAUGAGGUUCCACGCCCCGGACCACAGCCAUGUUAGCCUCGAUAAUAAUCCUCGGCGCACUUAUUCUGAGACGUCCUCGUGAGUGAGUGUCCUAAUUGCCUUUACGGAUAAUGUCGCAGAUAUCCAAUGGUUCAGGUGUGACGUCGGAUAUUUUUGUUAUAGUGUCGUAAAUAUUCCGUGAUUAUUUCAGAGUCGCUGAAUGUUCAUCGCACACAGUUUGUCUUUGAGUAGAAACACUGAUUAAUAUCCAUGAUCAGUUAGGUUACGAACUCUGGAUUUCAGACUGGAAAGCUACACAACACCGGUCAUCCACUGAGUGGUUGAUUGCCUGGUCUACCGGCCCCUGGAUGAGUGGUAGAUUGCCUGGUCUACCGUGGAUAUGAGUGGUUGAUUGCCUGGUCUACCCCUGGAUGACACAGCUGUUCCUAUGCAGGGGAGGACUCUCACAAGCGAUAAGCACCUGUUGGACCUGGAGACUCCCCCCUGAGCCUGACGGUGGAGCUGUGGGCCCUGCACCAGACCCCCACCCCCCCCCACACCACCCACAGCAGGGGCAGGGUGUUGAGACUCCCCCCACAGGCUAAGACAGGGAGGAACUUGAAGAUCCAGGUUUUUGUCAUCUGCACAGGAAUUGACACAUGGUAUUUGGGAGCAGGAGCAUCGGCGGAGAUCGAGCUGGCUGAAGGUUGGCAGCCAGGUCAAGCUCGCCUCGGACAAGGAGUUCUGUGAGAUGUGCUCGGCCGAUGUUGUUGACCUCGGCCACAUCAAUGUUACUAAGGUGGUGGAGGUGUGGAAACUACAUCUACAUGGACGACGGACUCAAGGAGAUCGCUGAGACUAUUACUACUACUAUUACUAUUACUAUCCUCUAUACUGCUAUGUGUACUAUUAAAUCCUCUAUACUGCUACUAUGUGUACUAUUGAAUCCCUUAUAUAGUACUUCCAUGACAGCUGAUCGGUGAUAAUACUAUUACUAUGACCACUCAGUCCCUGGUAAGUACAAUGUCAUUAUCAUCAUUAUUUAGGUUAAGGUCCAUUUAAUUCAAUCUUCCUGAGCGGUUGGACGCUUUAUGGCUCUCCUCCAUUCUACUCUGUCUUCCGCCCAAUGCUUAUACAGUCCUAUCAAUCCCAAGUCUUCCUGUACACACCUUCUCCAUGUUUUCCUUGGGCUACCAAUUGGUCUCCUUCCUUCUACCUCCAUUCUACUCUGUCUUCUGCCCAAUGCUCAUCCAAGCCCAUCACUGCAAAGUCUUCCUGUAUACACCUUCUCCACGUUUUUCUAGGUCUACCAACUGGUCUCCUUCCUUCUACCUCCAUUCUACUCUGUCUUCUGCCCAAUGCUCAUCCAAGCCCAUCACUGCAAAGUCUUCCUGUAUACACCUUCUCCAUGUUUUCCUAGGUCUACCAACUGGUCUCCUUCCUUCUACCUCCAUUCUACUGUCUUCUGCCCAAUGCUCAUCCAAUCCCAUCACUUCCAAGUCAUCCUGUACACACCUUCUCCACGUUUUCCUAGGUCUACCAACUGGUCUCCUUCCUUCUACCUCCAAUCUCUCCAACACUCCCAGCACUGUAUCCUUCCCUGCUCUCUUUACAUGUCCAAACCAUUGGAGUCUUUCCCUUCUGAGCACUGUUUCCAGGUCCUCUACUAAAACUUCCAGCACCCGUACUGCGUCACCAUCACCACCCGUACUGCGUCACCAUCACCACCCGUACUGCGUCACCAUCACCACCCGUACUGCGUCACCAUCACCACCCGUACUGCGUCACUAUCACCACCCGUACUGCGUCACCAUCACCACCCGUACUGCGUCACCAUCACCACCCGUUCUGCGUCACCAUCACCACCCGUUCUGCGUCACCAUCACCACCCGUACUGCGUCACCAUCACCACCCGUACUGCGUCACCAUCACCACCCGUACUGCGUCACUAUCACCACCCGUACUGCGUCGCUAUCACAACCCGUACUGCUGCGUCACUAUCACAACCCGGUCUGC
Eriocheir sinensis (Chinese mitten crab) is the source of this 7902-nucleotide long non-coding RNA. RefSeq lists it as uncharacterized. The transcript is spliced from 6 exons. The record is from RefSeq and is a predicted model, not a curated record. NCBI's taxonomy places the organism in Eukaryota, Metazoa, Arthropoda, Malacostraca, Decapoda, Varunidae.